Molecule: ribosomal RNA, 301 nt
Filed under: uncultured bacterium
Lineage: Bacteria
Description: partial 16S ribosomal RNA
Rfam family: Bacterial small subunit ribosomal RNA
Source: RNAcentral
CAGCCGCCGCGGGAAUACGGAGGGGGCUAGCGUUGUUCGGAAUUACUGGGCGUAAAGCGCACGUAGGCGGCUUUGUAAGUUAGAGGUGAAAGCCCGGAGCUCAACUCCGGAAUUGCCUUUAAGACUGCAGAGCUAGCAGGUGAGAGAGGUGAGUGGAAUUCCGAGUGUAGAGGUGAAAUUCGUAGAUAUUCGGAAGAACACCAGUGGCGAAGGCGGCUCACUGGCUCAUACUGGACGCUGAGGUGCGAAAGCGUGGGGAGCAAACAGGAUUAGAGACCCCAGUAGUCCCUGUCUCUUAUAA